GCUUGCACUCGGUUGAGACGAGUCUCAUCCGGUAGAGCGAAUGAUUAGAGGCAUUGGGGUCGAAACGACCUCAACCUAUUCUCAAACUCCAAAUAGAUGAGAUCCCCGGCUUUCUAAAAGGAAGCCGGGGUGGUAAGCAGAACUGGCGCUGUGG
This 154-nucleotide ribosomal RNA is filed under the name Stenopodessa sp. CW-2009. RNAcentral's name for it is "partial 28S ribosomal RNA". The stretch from base 10 to 145 matches the Rfam family "Eukaryotic large subunit ribosomal RNA", at positions 986 to 1121 of the family's 3401-position model. Lineage: Eukaryota; Metazoa; Arthropoda; Insecta; Hemiptera; Reduviidae. The record is from RNAcentral.